Molecule: transfer RNA, 88 nt
Filed under: Candidatus Methanofastidiosia archaeon
Lineage: Archaea; Methanobacteriati; Methanobacteriota; Candidatus Methanofastidiosia
Also listed under: 1 other name
Description: tRNA-Leu
Rfam family: tRNA
About the family: Transfer RNA (tRNA) molecules are approximately 80 nucleotides in length. Their secondary structure includes four short double-helical elements and three loops (D, anti-codon, and T loops).
Source: RNAcentral
GCGGGGGUUGCCGAGCCUGGUCAAAGGUGCAGGGCUUAGGACCCUGUGAUGUAGGUCUUCCUGGGUUCAAAUCCCAGCUCCCGCACCA